RNAcentral lists this long non-coding RNA (344 nucleotides) under Elaeis guineensis (African oil palm). RNAcentral's name for it is "long non-coding RNA (EGUI_LNC065797)". Lineage: Eukaryota; Viridiplantae; Streptophyta; Magnoliopsida; Arecales; Arecaceae. The record is from RNAcentral.
CCUGGCAUGGAAGCUCAUCUGAAGAUCGUCUGUCAGGGAAGUCCGGUCUUACUGGGAGCUUGGUAGGAGGUCGGCCGACGAUGGACUUCGGAUAGCGCUGGAGAGACUCGCCUGCUGGAGGAGUAUGGGUGAUCUAGGGGCGAUCGGCCGUUGUAGAAAUUCAGUUGCUGGAGCCCGUUCAUUGCGAGAGCUCAUCUGGGAUCCAUCCGUUGUGGAAGCUCGGAUGGAGUCCGAUUCUCAUGGGAGGCCGAAAGGAGGCCGCUUAUUGUUGGAGCUCAGUUGAAGAUCAGUUGUCAUAGGAGCUCGGAGUAACAACCUGGUCGGUAGAUCCUGUCUCCUGGUAG